Molecule: long non-coding RNA, 444 nt
Organism: Ipomoea nil (Japanese morning glory)
Lineage: Eukaryota; Viridiplantae; Streptophyta; Magnoliopsida; Solanales; Convolvulaceae
Exons: 2
Source: RefSeq, a predicted model, not a curated record
CUUUUUCUCCUUUGUUUUUUCCUUGUUCACCGAUCACUUCACCCAGGCAUCGCUUACCUCUGAAGAGAGCAUUCAGAUGGCCAUCGAAUCAGAGUUCAACCCUGUAACAACAAUCGGAGCUCUUAAUUGUCCAAAGGUUAGCUUUUCUGCUUUGAGAGACCAUGGUGAACAGAAAAGGAAGAGAGGCAAGAGUGGUGGUGGGAGAGCCUCCAAGAAGAGUGUGAGGGCCAUCUAAAAAAGCUACUAGAAGAAGUGUUGCCACUGCUGAAAUUUUUAGGCUAGAUUCCAAAAUUGUUUUCUGUAUAUUUUGUUAUUCUUUUGUUUUUUAUUUUUUUUUACAAAAUUUUGUAAUGAUCAUGAGACAACUUGUUCUUAUUGUCUUUGUAAAGUAAACAUGUAUUAGAUCGGUUAUGAAGUUAUAUAAAAUGACAGUGGUUUGAACAA